AUACGGAGGAUCCGAGCGUUAUCCGGAUUUAUUGGGUUUAAAGGGUGCGUAGGCGGCCUUUUAAGUCAGCGGUGAAAGUCUGUGGCUCAACCAUAGAAUUGCCGUUGAAACUGGGAGGCUUGAGUAUGUUUGAGGCAGGCGGAAUGCGUGGUGUAGCGGUGAAAUGCUUAGAUAUCACGCAGAACCCCGAUUGCGAAGGCAGCCUGACAAGCCAUGACUGACGCUGAUGCACGAAAGCGUGGGGAUCAAACAGGAUUAGAUACCCUGGUAGUCCACGCAGUAAACGAUGAUCACUAGCUGUUUGCGAUACAGUGUAAGCGGCACAGCGAAAGCGUUAAGUGAUCCACCUGGGGAGUACGCCGGCAACGGUGAAACUCAAAUGAAUUGGCGGGG
This 393-nucleotide ribosomal RNA is filed under the name uncultured bacterium. RNAcentral describes it as "partial 16S ribosomal RNA". It matches the Rfam family "Bacterial small subunit ribosomal RNA", at positions 523 to 918 of the family's 1533-position model. The record is from RNAcentral.